CUCAUCAAUUUAAAUCACAUCCGCUGUCUGCCAUCCAAAAUAGGUAAAACACCAAAGGAAGGGGACAAAAAUGAAUGCAAAGAGUCCAAAGUAAAAGAAUAUUCAAAUUAUGAAAAUAAAGCUUGCCACCCUACGCGUUUCAUCUGGGAGACUUCGUCAGGGGCUCGUGGCAAUAGUACACCAUACACAUACAAUAACAUUUAAAUACCCAACCUUAAAAAACCUUUGUCCAAUCGCCAAAAAGAACUUCAAAUCAAGUCCACCUGAUGGUACUUUUUCUAACUUGUUCCGUUCCGUUUUCGCGCUUCUGGAAAGCGCUUGCGUCCCAAGCCUCAUUUUCAGAAGUACCGGAAGAGGUCGCCGAUCCACUUUCGGAACGCUUGUAUUUCGUCAUAUCCGGUCGCAACCGGAAGUUAUCAUAAGUUCGGCAAAAAAAAUCAUCACUCUUUGGAACGCAAAUGCGUUCCACUUCGGAUAAAACGACAAUGAAACUUCUGAAGAUGGGAUACACAUAAACUCACAAGAUAGAAGAAGAAAAAAAAGUUUUUAAAAAUCCUCAUACAAAUAAAA
Pelobates cultripes (western spadefoot toad) is the source of this 570-nucleotide non-coding RNA. NCBI's taxonomy places the organism in Eukaryota, Metazoa, Chordata, Amphibia, Anura, Pelobatidae. The record is from the annotation of a GenBank genome assembly.